AGAAUCAACGCUGGCGGCGUGCCUAACACAUGCAAGUCGCACGAGAAAGGGACUUCGGUCCUGAGUACAGUGGCGCACGGGUGAGUAACACGUGAAUAAUCUACCUCCGAGUGGGGAAUAACUGAGAGAAAUCUUAGCUAAUACCGCAUAACACUUACGAGUCAAAGCAGCAAUGCGCUUGGAGAGGAGUUCGCGGCAGAUUAGUUAGUUGGCGGGGUAAUGGCCCACCAAGACGAUGAUCUGUAUCCGGCCUGAGAGGGCGCACGGACACACUGGAACUGAAACACGGUCCAGACUCCUACGGGAGGCAGCAGUGGGGAAUUUUGCGCAAUGGGGGAAACCCUGACGCAGCAACGCCGCGUGGAGGAUGAAAUAUCUUGGUAUGUAAACUCCUUUCGAUGGGAAGAUAAUGACGGUACCAUAGAGAAGCCCGGCUAACUUCGCGCCAGCAGCCGCGGUAA
Molecule: ribosomal RNA, 461 nt
Filed under: uncultured bacterium
Lineage: Bacteria
Description: SSU rRNA
Rfam family: Bacterial small subunit ribosomal RNA
Source: RNAcentral